UGACGGGGAAAGGGGCGGGGUGAACCACGCCCUCUAGAGACUCAUUACAGAGACGUGAGAAAUCUGGGGAGACAAACAGAAAAAAAUAUGUUCACCAAUGACAAAGGACAUACGAAUGGAUUUUGCUUAUUUAUCUUCCACUUUUUCACUACACAAUCAAAUUAAAAAUGAUUACUGAACCAA
Electrophorus electricus (electric eel) is the source of this 183-nucleotide long non-coding RNA. RefSeq lists it as uncharacterized. Lineage: Eukaryota; Metazoa; Chordata; Actinopteri; Gymnotiformes; Gymnotidae. The record is from RefSeq and is a predicted model, not a curated record.